UGGGAAUGUGAUCAAAUUUAAUUUUAAAAUCUUCAAGUUGUUAUUUCAUCCAUAAAAUUUGUGCCACACAAGUUUUAGCUACAAUAUAUUCAGCUUCUGCUGUAGAGAGUGCAACAGAAGUUUGUUUUUUUACUAUGCCAUGAGACUAAUGUAUGACUAAGAAAUUGACAAGUUUUAGAAGUGCUUUUUUUGUCCAACCUACUACUAGCAAAAUCAAAA
Molecule: unclassified non-coding RNA, 219 nt
Filed under: Hevea brasiliensis (rubber tree)
Lineage: Eukaryota; Viridiplantae; Streptophyta; Magnoliopsida; Malpighiales; Euphorbiaceae
Source: RNAcentral